ACGCUGGCGGCGUGCUUAACGCAUGCAAGUCGGAUGCAAAGGCUGGUUUCGGCUGGGUAUCCCCAUGGCAGACGGGUGAGGAACCCGUGCUUAACCUGACCCGUGACGGGGGAUAGUCUCUCUGCUGAUGGUUGAAUACCGCAGAUGCUCCCUUGGUGGAAGGCUAUUGGAGAAAACUUUCCCUCUGCAAGCCAGCUUUUGUCAAGUGACUGGGCCUCGUCCCUUUACCUCCCUUGGUGGGGAAUGGUCUACCACGGGUACAAUCGGGAGCUGGUCGGACAUGAUGACCUGUCAUCCUGGUCCCGAUACUCCGGCCUAACUCCUACGGGAUGCCUCAAUGGGCAAUUCUACCCGAUGGGAACAAGCCUGAAGGGUUGCCCCCGCGUGAGUGAAUAACCCUUUCUGGGUGGAAAGCUCUUGACGUGGGGAAUAAAGUCUGGUGAUGAACAGUUAUCAAGGGUGAGACGCUGUUUCCAAGGAUGUCCGGCUAUGUCCGUGCCAGGUAACGUUCUUCGACUUACGGGGAAAUAGUUCUUCUGAUUUACUGCUUGUGCAGCGCGCGUACACUUCCUGUGAAUUGCAACCUUGCAACCCUCGUCUUAACGCGGGA
RNAcentral lists this ribosomal RNA (610 nucleotides) under uncultured organism. Its description in RNAcentral is "bacterial SSU rRNA". It matches the Rfam family "Bacterial small subunit ribosomal RNA", at positions 33 to 620 of the family's 1533-position model. The record is from RNAcentral.